AUGGGGGGCUAAGAAGGCCCACCUAAACUAUUUCAUUUCUUCAAAUUGGGGUUACAAGAUCAAGCAACCUCCCUCAUCAGCUAGGACGGUGAUCAAGGUACAAUUUGAGAACAAAGAUUAUAGAGUCACAAAGGAUUACAAUCGCAGCACACAUAGGAUCGAACCACCAUGGAGCACUCUUGCUUGCCAGUUUUGCACCGAGGAACACCGGUGCGCGGCACGAAUACAUCCCCUUCACAUGCAAACGACAAGCACCUUUUGUAGCCCAACUCAUAGCAAGGAGCUAGGCUGACAACGGGUGAGGGUAGCCUCGAACAGAAGCACUCUUCACUGCAAGCUGGGUAACCAAGACCAGAGGUUGGUCAUGGUGGCCCGCAUCAGGCCACAAACUUCUCCGGGUGCCAACCAAUUCACAUGAAGCAUUUAGGCAAGCAUGGUCUAUAUAUUGUUCCGUAGCAUUCGACCAUUAGGCGUGGGCCAUGUAUAGAAGGUGGCAAUGUCCUGGCAUGGAAAAAAACAUUUAUUAUAUCUAACAGUAACAUAUUGGUGUUGCUGAACCUGUUGAUAUGCGCAUACCAUAUAUAUUAGUCUUGCGUUAAAGCUGAACAAACAUCACUCUGACACUGAACAGAUUAAUCAGGCACAAUACCACAAUACAUGCAUCCUCGUUGUCACCAAGCUUAAAUUAAGGUAAGGAGCUCUGUCCAUCUGCUGAUUAACUUUAGUCCCAGAAAUCCUGAAAAUUUUGCGUGUUUUCCCAACCAGCACAUAGGCUCGUCGGCCUUUAAUUUUGUAUGAGAACCUGGCCGGUUCUCCCAAAGCUAUAUAUGUGCA
Molecule: long non-coding RNA, 834 nt
Filed under: Setaria viridis
Lineage: Eukaryota; Viridiplantae; Streptophyta; Magnoliopsida; Poales; Poaceae
Description: long non-coding RNA (SVIR_LNC000735)
Source: RNAcentral